GGAGGGGUAGCGAAGUGGCUAAACGCGGCAGACUGUAAAUCUGUUCCUAACGGUUCGGCAGUUCGAAUCGGCCCCCCUCCACCA
This 84-nucleotide transfer RNA is filed under the name Mycoplasmatota bacterium. RNAcentral describes it as "Tenericutes bacterium tRNA-Tyr". It matches the Rfam family "tRNA". Rfam says of the family: Transfer RNA (tRNA) molecules are approximately 80 nucleotides in length. Their secondary structure includes four short double-helical elements and three loops (D, anti-codon, and T loops). The record is from RNAcentral. Lineage: Bacteria; Bacillati; Mycoplasmatota.